This 443-nucleotide ribosomal RNA is filed under the name uncultured bacterium. RNAcentral describes it as "partial 16S ribosomal RNA". It matches the Rfam family "Bacterial small subunit ribosomal RNA", at positions 338 to 795 of the family's 1533-position model. The record is from RNAcentral.
CCUACGGGAGGCAGCAGUGGGGAAUAUUGGGCAAUGGGCGCAAGCCUGACCCAGCAACGCCGCGUGAAGGAAGAAGGCUUUCGGGUUGUAAACUUCUUUUCUCAGGGACGAAGCAAGUGACGGUACCUGCGGAAUAGGCCACGGCUAACUACGUGCCAGCAGCCGCGGUAAUACGUAGGGGGGAAGCGUUAUCCGGAUUUACUGGGUGUAAAGGGCGUGUAGGGGGGAAAGCAAGUCAAAUGUGAAAACCAUGGGCUCAACCUGUGGCCUGCAUUUGAAACUGUUGUUCUUGAGUACUGGAGAGGCAGACGGAAUUCCUCGUGUAGCGGUGAAAUGCGUAGAUAUGAGGAGGAACACCAGUGGCGAAGGCGGUCUGCUGGACAGCAACUGACGCUGAGGCGCGAAAGCGUGGGGAGCAAACAGGAUUAGAUACCCGAGUAGUC